Molecule: ribosomal RNA, 576 nt
Filed under: uncultured eukaryote
Lineage: Eukaryota
Description: SSU rRNA
Rfam family: Eukaryotic small subunit ribosomal RNA
Source: RNAcentral
CAUUUAUUAGAACAAAACCAAUUGGCUUUGGCCAUAAAUUGGUGAAUCUGAAUAACUACGCUGAUCGCAUGGUCUAGUACCGGCGACAUAUCCUUCAAGUGUCUGCCUUAUCAACUGUCGAUGGUAGUCUAUAAGCCUACCAUGGUUGUAACGGGUAACGGAGAAUAAGGGUUCGACUCCGGAGAGGGAGCCUGAGAAACGGCUACCACAUCCAAGGAAGGCAGCAGGCGCGCAAAUUACCCACUCUCAGAACGAGGAGGUAGUGACGAAAAAUAACGAGACAGUUCUCUUUGAGGUCUGUCAUCGGAAUGGGUACAAUCUAAACCCUUUAACGAGGAUCUAUUGGAGGGCAAGUCUGGUGCCAGCAGCCGCGGUAAUUCCAGCUCCAAUAGCGUAUAUUAAAGUUGUUGCGGUUAAAAAGCUCGUAGUUGGAUCUGCGGUCAUUGGCACUGGUUUCCUUCACGGAAUACUGGUUGUCGUGACCUACCUCGCUGGUUUUCCCUUGGUGCUCUUCAUUGAGUGCCCUGGGUGGCUAGCACGUUUACUUUGAAAAAAUUAGAGUGCUUAAUGCAGGCG